Molecule: long non-coding RNA, 521 nt
Filed under: Equus asinus (donkey)
Lineage: Eukaryota; Metazoa; Chordata; Mammalia; Perissodactyla; Equidae
Description: lncRNA (ENSEASG00005025205.1)
Source: RNAcentral
AGACAGGGAACAGGGUGGCUGGAGAGAGCCCUGCUUCCCUUCUCCAUCCUUGCUCCCUCAGGCUUCACUUCCCAACAGGCCAAGGAAAAGUAACUCUGCCGGGGGCACCUCCAAGACACCCAGGACAUUCUUGAUAAAUCUGUCCGCAGAAGCAGUCCUGCAUGAGUCAAGGAAAUCACCUGAUGGCCAGCGAGCCAAGGCUAACCGAGCAUUUUCAACAUGCCUGCUACCACUCGGCACAGGCACCCUGACGGCCCUGGGAAUGCAAAGUGGGGUUCAUGUCUUCUCAUGGAGCAGGGCACCAGCAGACUCUGGCCUCUUGGAUCUCCUUGCACAAUUGAACACAGCCAGGAUUCCUGGAAGUCUUGCUCAAGAGCGGUAAGGUCCUGAACUUCGUUUAUUAAUGACACUGAUAAAUAAAUGAAAAGCAAUAGGAUAUUGGAGUAUACGAGGAAGCCAUUUGGUGUAAAACUAAUUCAGCCUGAACUUAUUUUUUCCAAAAGGGCCUGACAUGGUCAUUG